UACGUAGGGUGCAAGCGUUAAUCGGAAUUACUGGGCGUAAAGCGCACGUAGGCGGUUUUUUAAGUCAGAUGUGAAAGCCCCGGGCUCAACCUGGGAACUGCAUUGGAUACUGGCUUACUAGAGUGCGGUAGAGGGUGGCGGAAUUCCCGGUGUAGCAGUGAAAUGCGUAGAUAUCGGGAGGAACAUCCGUGGCGAAGGCGGCCACCUGGACCAGCACUGACACUGAGGCACGAAAGCGUGGGGAGCAAACAGG
This 253-nucleotide ribosomal RNA is filed under the name uncultured bacterium. RNAcentral describes it as "partial 16S ribosomal RNA". It matches the Rfam family "Bacterial small subunit ribosomal RNA", at positions 524 to 776 of the family's 1533-position model. The record is from RNAcentral.